CCUACGGGAUGCACCAGUGGGGAAUAUUGCACAAUGGGCGCAAGCCUGAUGCAGCCAUGCCGCGUGUAUGAAGAAGGCCUUAGGGUUGUAAAGUACUUUCAGUUGGGAGGAAGGCGUUGAUGCUAAUAUCAUCAACGAUUGAUGUUACCAACAGAAGAAGCACCGGCUAACUCCGUGCCAGCAGCCGCGGUAAUACGGAGGGUGCAAGCGUUAAUCGGAAUUACUGGGCGUAAAGCGCACGCAGGCGGUUGAUUAAGUUAGACGUGAAAUCCCCGGGCUUAACCUGGGAAUGGCAUCUAAGACUGGUCAGCUAGAGUCUUGUAGAGGGGGGUAGAAUUCCAUGUGUAGCGGUGAAAUGCGUAGAGAUGUGGAGGAAUACCGGUGGCGAAGGCGGCUCCCUGGACAAAGACUGACGCUCAGGUGCGAAAGCGUGGGGAGCAAACAGGAUUAGAUACCCGUGUAGUC
RNAcentral lists this ribosomal RNA (465 nucleotides) under uncultured bacterium. RNAcentral describes it as "bacterial SSU rRNA". It matches the Rfam family "Bacterial small subunit ribosomal RNA", at positions 338 to 795 of the family's 1533-position model. The record is from RNAcentral.